This 460-nucleotide ribosomal RNA is filed under the name uncultured bacterium. RNAcentral describes it as "partial 16S ribosomal RNA". It matches the Rfam family "Bacterial small subunit ribosomal RNA", at positions 338 to 795 of the family's 1533-position model. The record is from RNAcentral.
CCUACGGGAGGCAGCAGUGAGGAAUAUUGGGCAAUGGACGAGAGUCUGAACCAGCAAAGUAGCGUGAAGGAUGACGGCCCUAUGGGUGGUAAACUGCUUUUAUAGGGGAAUAAAACAGGGUAUGCAGACCCUCUUGUACGUACCAUAUGAGUAAGGACAGGCUAACUCCGUGCCAGCAGCCGCGGUAAUACGGAGGAUCCGAGCGUUAUCCGGAGUUAUUGGGUUUAAAGGGGGCGUAGGUGGGUUGUUAAGUCAGUUGUGAAAGUUUGCGGCUCAACCGUGAAAUUGCAGUUGAAACUGGCAGUCUUGAGUGCAGUAGAGGUGGGCGGAAUUCGUGGUGUAGCGGUGAAAUGCUUAGAUAUCACGAAGAACUCCGAUUGCGAAGGCAGCUCACUGGACUGCAACUGACACUGAUGCUCGAAAGUGUGGGUAUCAAACAGGAUUAGAUACCCUAGUAGUC